GGAUUAGAUACCCUGGUAGUCCACGCCGUAAACGAUGUCGACUAGCCGUUGGAUUCCUUGAGGAUGCAGUGGCGCAGUUAACGCGAUAAGUCGACCGCCUGGGGAGUACGGCCGCAAGGUUAAAACUCAAAUGAAUUGACGGGGGCCCGCACAAGCGGUGGAGCAUGUGGUUUAAUUCGAUGCAACGCGAAGAACCUUACCAGGUCUUGACAUCCUACUAAGUUUCCAGAGAUGGAUUCGUGCCUUCGGGAAAGUAGUGACAGGUGCUGCAUGGCUGUCGUCAGCUCGUGCCG
This 293-nucleotide ribosomal RNA is filed under the name uncultured bacterium. RNAcentral describes it as "partial 16S ribosomal RNA". It matches the Rfam family "Bacterial small subunit ribosomal RNA", at positions 775 to 1067 of the family's 1533-position model. The record is from RNAcentral.